AUACGGAGGGGGUUAGCGUUGUUCGGAAUUACUGGGCGUAAAGCGUACGUAGGCGGACUGGAAAGUUGGGGGUGAAAUCCCGGGGCUCAACCCCGGAACUGCCUCCAAAACUUCCAAUCUAGAGAUCGAGAGAGGUGAGUGGAAUUCCAAGUGUAGAGGUGAAAUUCGUAGAUAUUUGGAGGAACACCAGUGGCGAAGGCGGCUCACUGGCUCGAUUCUGACGCUGAGGUACGAAAGCGUGGGGAGCAAACAGGAUUAGAAACCCUAGUAGUCC
This 274-nucleotide ribosomal RNA is filed under the name uncultured bacterium. RNAcentral's name for it is "partial 16S ribosomal RNA". It matches the Rfam family "Bacterial small subunit ribosomal RNA", at positions 523 to 796 of the family's 1533-position model. The record is from RNAcentral.